This 389-nucleotide ribosomal RNA is filed under the name uncultured soil bacterium. RNAcentral's name for it is "bacterial SSU rRNA". It matches the Rfam family "Bacterial small subunit ribosomal RNA", at positions 975 to 1375 of the family's 1533-position model. The record is from RNAcentral.
CUGGGCUUGACAUGCGCCUGCACCAGCGGGAGACCGUUGUCCGGGCAACCGGCGGGCGCACAGGUGCUGCAUGGCUGUCGUCAGCUCGUGCCGUGAGGUGUUGGGUUAAGUCCCCUAACGAGCGCAACCCCUGGGAUCCGUUACGUGGGUGUCGGGUCCGACUGCCGCGCGCAACGCGGAGGAAGGUGGGGAUGAUGUCAAGUCAGCACGGCCCUUACGUCCAGGGCGACACACACACUACAAUGGCCGGUACAACGAGUCGCCAAGCCGCGAGGCGGAGCUAAUCUCAGCAAAGCCGGUCUCAGUUCGGAUGGCAGGCUGCAACUCGCCUGCCUGAAGCUGGAGUUGCUAGUAACCGCGGGUCAGCAUACCGCGGUGAAUACGUUCCC